AUACGUAGGUGGCGAGCGUUGUCCGGAUUUACUGGGCGUAAAGGGCGUGCAGGCGGUUCGUUAAGUUCGAGGUGAAAGCUCCCGGCUCAACUGGGAGAGGUCCCCGGAUACUGGCGGACUUGAGGGAGGUAGAGGAAAGUGGAAUUCCCGGUGUAGUGGUGAUAUGCGUAGAUAUCGGGAGGAACACCAGUGGCGAAGGCGGCUUUCUGGGCCUUACCUGACGCUGAGACGCGAAAGCGUGGGGAGCGAACCGGAUUAGAAACCCCAGUAGUCC
Molecule: ribosomal RNA, 274 nt
Filed under: uncultured bacterium
Lineage: Bacteria
Description: partial 16S ribosomal RNA
Rfam family: Bacterial small subunit ribosomal RNA
Source: RNAcentral